UGAAGGACUUUAUUGCUGACAUUUCCCCAACAAAGGAAAAGACAGUUUUGAUAUGGGAUAGAGUCUGCAGAUAAAUGCAAAGUGCAUUGCAUUAGAAAAGUAAAUGAUUGCUGCAAAAUUGAUUCUAUCUUGCUUCGUUGCUCUUGUGAUUCAAAAUAUAUGCUAUCAUUUUUUCCAUCAUGAGGGCUAUCAUUUCUUUUGAGUAAAAUAAAGAAGUUUGAGAUCUCUUUCCUCUCCCUUAAAAGCAUCUGUUUUGUUCAAAUCCAGGCUAAAGUACUACCUGUUCUACAACUGAAGUUGCUUCAGACAAAUAUUGCACUCUCAGUGCUGAAAUAAUAUUCAUCCUGCUGGUAUAUGUGGCUCCAAU
RNAcentral lists this long non-coding RNA (367 nucleotides) under Elaeis guineensis (African oil palm). RNAcentral describes it as "long non-coding RNA (EGUI_LNC024664)". Lineage: Eukaryota; Viridiplantae; Streptophyta; Magnoliopsida; Arecales; Arecaceae. The record is from RNAcentral.